This 253-nucleotide ribosomal RNA is filed under the name uncultured bacterium. RNAcentral describes it as "partial 16S ribosomal RNA". It matches the Rfam family "Bacterial small subunit ribosomal RNA", at positions 524 to 776 of the family's 1533-position model. The record is from RNAcentral.
UACAGAGGUCUCAACCGUUGUUCGGAUUCAUUGGGCGUAAAGGGUGCGUAGGUGGCGCGGUAAGUCGGGUGUGAAAUUUCGGAGCUUAACUCCGAAACUGCAUUCGAUACUGCCGUGCUUGAGGACUGGAGAGGAGACUGGAAUUUACGGUGUAGCAGUGAAAUGCGUAGAGAUCGUAAGGAAGACCAGUGGCGAAGGCGGGUCUCUGGACAGUUCCUGACACUGAGGCACGAAGGCCAGGGGAGCAAACGGG